UACGUAGGGCGCAAGCGUUGUCCGGAAUUAUUGGGCGUAAAGAGCUCGUAGGCGGUCUGUCGCGUCUGCUGUGAAAACCCGAGGCUCAGCCUCGGGCCUGCAGUGGGUACGGGCAGACUAGAGUGCGGUAGGGGAGACUGGAAUUCCUGGUGUAGCGGUGGAAUGCGCAGAUAUCAGGAGGAACACCGAUGGCGAAGGCAGGUCUCUGGGCCGCAACUGACGCUGAGGAGCGAAAGCAUGGGGAGCGAACAGG
Molecule: ribosomal RNA, 253 nt
Filed under: uncultured bacterium
Lineage: Bacteria
Description: partial 16S ribosomal RNA
Rfam family: Bacterial small subunit ribosomal RNA
Source: RNAcentral